UGAAUGGACACACGAAAGUAUUUCUGUCUCUUUUAUAUCAAUAAAAAUUGAAUUAUAGGUGAAGAUGCCUAUAUAUUUUUAAAGGACAAAAAGACCCUAUUGAGCUUUAUUUCUUAUUAAUUAAAAAAGAAAUACCACAAAUUUUUAUUAAAAGGAGAUUCUGUUGGGGCGACAAAGGAACACAAAAAACUUCCAAAAAAAAAAAGAAAACACUUCUAUUCAAUGAUCCUUAAUAGCUAAAGAAACCAGCUACCAUAGGGAUAACAGGCUAAUCAUUUUAAAGAGUUCAUAUUGAUAAAAUGGGUUGGCACCUCGAUGUUGGCUUAGGGUAUCCUAUAAGUGCAGAAG
This 348-nucleotide ribosomal RNA is filed under the name Bathyglycinde cf. profunda NHM_515. RNAcentral describes it as "partial large subunit ribosomal RNA". It matches the Rfam family "Bacterial large subunit ribosomal RNA", at positions 1993 to 2561 of the family's 2925-position model. Lineage: Eukaryota; Metazoa; Annelida; Polychaeta; Phyllodocida; Goniadidae. The record is from RNAcentral.